This 685-nucleotide long non-coding RNA is filed under the name Canis lupus dingo (dingo). RNAcentral describes it as "lncRNA (ENSCAFG00020010715.1)". Lineage: Eukaryota; Metazoa; Chordata; Mammalia; Carnivora; Canidae. The record is from RNAcentral.
ACAUUUAUGAAUUGUAUUUUUCAGAUGGAGAAACUGAGGCAGCACGUGGUUAAUUGUUUUUCCCCACCUUCCACAUGUAUGAAACAUCAAAUUUGAAAUUACCAUUUAUGAAUAUCUUCUGCCUUCCAGCUCUGUGCUGCAGAAAGAAAUUGCCAGUGGAUGAGAUGGAAGAGUAUCCUAACAUAUUCAGGGGAUGACUAUCAGAGUCUGUGGCUACACUGGAGUUGGAAGAUUGUUGUAGUCAAAGAAUCCAUUGAACUUUGGCCUUUGUGGACAGUUAACCUGGGAAUGGAGCAGCACCGUAUGCAUCCGUCCUUUCCAUCAAGGAAAAGCAAACCUUUUCAGAAACACACCUUCCAAUAACUUCUUAAGCCUCCCUGCUUAAUCCUGAGUCAAAAGGUACCCUGCCCCCCUGCCCCCAACUUCAAGAAAACAAGGGACAAGACUGUCAAGAGUGACCAAGACAAAUCCUGAUCCAUUGCCUAUGUCUGGGCAUAGUGACCUUUGCACAAGAUUGGAGUUCUAUUAGCAAGGAAGCAAGGUGGGAAAUGAACAUUGCAAAAAGGUAGUUAACACAGGGUGUUCGACUACUGACGUUCUUCCAUAGAAACAAUAUUGGGACAUUGGUAUAUUGGCAUAUUUAUAUAUUUUUACCUCUUGCAAAUAUAGUAAACGUAUUCUUUAC